UUUAGCAUGGAAUAAUAGAAUAGGACGUGUGGUUCUAUUUUGUUGGUUUCUAGGACCGCCGUAAUGAUUAAUAGGGAUAGUCGGGGGCAUCAGUAUUCAAUUGUCAGAGGUGAAAUUCUUGGAUUUAUUGAAGACUAACUACUGCGAAAGCAUUUGCCAAGGAUGUUUUCAUUAAUCAGUGAACGAAAGUUAGGGGAUCGAAGACGAUCAGAUACCGUCGUAGUCUUAACCAUAAACUAUGCCGACUAGGGAUCGGGCGAUGUUAUCUUUUUGACUCGCUCGGCACCUUACGAGAAAUCAAAGUUUUUGGGUUCUGGGGGGAGUAUGGUCGCAAGGCUGAAACUUAAAGAAAUUGACAGAAGGGCACCACCAGGAGUGGAGCCUGCGGCUUAAUUUGACUCAACACGGGGAAACUCACCAGGUCCAGACACAAUAAGGAUUGACAGAUUGAGAGCUCUUUCUUGAUUUUGUGGGUGGUGGUGCAUGGCCGUUCUUAGUUGGUGGAGUGAUCUGUCUGCUUAAUUGCAAUAACGAACGAGACCUUAACCUGCUAAAUAGCCCGGCUAGCUUUGGCUGGUCGCUGGCUUCUUAGAGGGACUAUCGGCUCAAGCCGAUGGAAGUUUGAGGCAAUAACAGGUCUGUGAUGCCCUUAGAUGUUCUGGGCCGCACGCGCGCUACACUGACAGAGCCAACGAGUUCAUCACCUUGGCCGAAAGGUCUGGGUAAUCUUGUUAAACUCUGUCGUGCUGGGGAUAGAGCAUUGCAAUA
This 768-nucleotide ribosomal RNA is filed under the name uncultured fungus. RNAcentral's name for it is "SSU rRNA". It matches the Rfam family "Eukaryotic small subunit ribosomal RNA", at positions 803 to 1591 of the family's 1831-position model. Lineage: Eukaryota; Fungi. The record is from RNAcentral.